RNAcentral lists this ribosomal RNA (497 nucleotides) under uncultured bacterium. RNAcentral's name for it is "partial 16S ribosomal RNA". It matches the Rfam family "Bacterial small subunit ribosomal RNA", at positions 28 to 507 of the family's 1533-position model. The record is from RNAcentral.
GAUGAACGCUGGCGGCGUGCCUAAUACAUGCAAGUCGAGCGAACGGACGAGAAGCUUGCUUCUCUGAUGUUAGCGGCGGACGGGUGAGUAACACGUGGAUAACCUACCUAUAAGACUGGGAUAACUUCGGGAAACCGGCGCUAAUACCGGAUAAUAUUUUGAACCGCAUGGUUCAAAAGUGAAAGACGGUCUUGCUGUCACUUAUAGAUGGAUCCGCGCUGCAUUAGCUAGUUGGUAAGGUAACGGCUUACCAAGGCAACGAUGCAUAGCCGACCUGAGAGGGUGAUCGGCCACACUGGAACUGAGACACGGUCCAGACUCCUACGGGAGGCAGCAGUAGGGAAUCUUCCGCAAUGGGCGAAAGCCUGACGGAGCAACGCCGCGUGAGUGGUGAAGGUCUUCGGAUCGUAAAACUCUGUUAUUAGGGAAGAACAUAUGUGUAAGUAACUGUGCACAUCUUGACGGUACCUAAUCAGAAAGCCACGGCUAACUACGUG